UACAAUUAAGAAAUUAUAAUUAUACCUUAAACUUAAAUCUCUCUUCCUCUCUCUUCCAAAUUUAGUCUUCAUCUAUCUCCCUCAUGCGAACACGAUUUUGAAUGCAAACACGAUUCUAAAGGCCCUCAUUCUAAACGCAAACACGAUUCACGAUUUUGCCUAUACUUCGCAAUCGUGUCUUGCUCCUCCUUCGCUUUGCGUCUCUCCUCCGGCUCUGCCUCUGCUCGCUGCCUCGGCCUCGCCCAGUCCUCCGCCUUGGUUGACCGUUCGUCAAAACUCAAAAGGUUUGGAUUUCAAUUCGUAUUAUCAUCAGAAUUGAUGUUUGGAGUUUUGUUUGUUUCAAAUUAGAUGUUAGUGCUGAUUUUUUAUGAAUUUUUUUAUUGCAUAUAAGGUGUUUGAUUUUUUGUCUAUAUAAAGUGUUUAAGUUUUUUUUUUUUUGUGCAUAUAAGGUGUUUGACUUUUUUUUCUAUUUAAGGUUCACUGAAAAUAUGUUUUAUGUUUUCUAAAUUGGUUGAUUUAGAGAAGUUUGUGAGAAUAAAGAAUAGUAAAAGAAUUGAUUCUUUUUUCAAGAGGAAAAUUUGUGGGAAUGAAAGAUAUGAAGAAAUUAUAACUUCUACAUCCGAAACUAUAUAUGAGAAUCCAAGAAUUGAAGAAAAUGAGAAUCAUCUUUCCAAAGUUCUUAGUGUUUUCGAAGAUGACUUUGAGAAAUGUUUAGAACGUGACCCCGAAAAGCGCAUUCAAAUUUGACAAUAUCCACCAAAUAAAUUGGAUGCAAUACGAAGAGCUUAUCUAAAAUUUGGUCCUUAUCAAAUAAAUUUAGAUGAACAUCCUUUAUCUGGCAACGAGGUUCAUCCAAGACGGGUUCAAUAUGUUUGGUUUAACAUAUUUUAUUCAUGGCUAGAAUAUUCACAUUCUAAAGAUGCUGCAAAUUGUUUGUCAUGCUAUCUAUUUAGCAAAAGGCCAAGUGGACGUCCCGGAUCAGAUGUCUUCAUUGUUACGGGUUUUAGAAAUUGGAAGAAAAUUAAAAAUGGAAAAUUUUGCGUCUUUCUCAAACACAUAGAGAUGAAUCCUUGCUCACCACACAACAGUGCAAUGAAAGCUUGUCUAAACUUGUUGAAUCAAGAUGAACAUAUUAUGAAUACUUUUCAAGUGCAAAGCUUAGGACAACUUACAAUGAUGAAGUUGUGAAAGUUGUGUUGGAAAAUGCUUCAUAUAAUUCUAAGUAUACUUCACAUCAAAUUCAAAAAGAGCUUUUGCAUAUUCUUUCUAGUACGGUGAGAAAACAUAUAUGUGAAGAAAUUGAUGAUUCCAAAUUUUGCAUCGUUGUAGAUGAAGUUCGUGAUGAAUCAAAAAGAGAACAAAUGUCUCUUGUGUUAAGAUUUGUUGACAAAGUUGGUUUAAUACAAGAGUGAUUUUUUUUGUGGCACAUGUUAAAGACACUACAACUUUAACUCUGAAAGAUUAAGUAUGUGAUCUACUUUCUCGACACAAUCUUGAUGUUUCUAACAUGCGUGGUCAAGGGUAUGAUGAUGCUAGUAAUAUGAGAGGAGAAUGGAACGAUUUACAAGCACUAUUUAUGAAAGAUUGUCCUUAUGCAUACUAUGUCCAUUGUUUUGCUCAUCGAUUGCAACUUGCCUUGGUUACUGUAUCAAGAGAAGUUGUUCCAAUGCAUUAAUUUUUUGAGAAGCUAACUUUUGUUGUUAAUGUUGUUUGUUCUUCUACUAAGCGUCAUGAUGAGUUACAAGCUGCUCAAUUAGAAGAAAUUGCACAUCUGCUAGAAAUUGAUGAGAUUGUAAUUGGUAAAGGUAUAAAUCAAAUUGGUACUUUGAAACGAGCUGGCGACACUCGUUGGGGAUCACAUUUCUCUUCUAUUUGUAGCUUGAUAAAUAUGUAUGAGGCAACCUGUACUGUUUAAAAAAAAAAUAUAUAAAUGAAAGAGCAAAUUAUUCUACAUGUGGGGAUGGUGAUAGUGCCUAUAAUUAUUUGACGGCGUUUGAUUUUUUAUUUAUCUUGCAUUUGAUGAAAGAAAUUAUGAGGAUCACUGAUAUACUUUGUCAAGCCUUACAACAACAAUUUCAUGAUAUAGUUAAUGUCAUGUGUUUGGUUGGAACAACAAAGUAUCUUAUUCAAGAAUUGAGAGAAGAUGGUUGGGAUGCAUUGUUUACUGAAGUGAAGAUUUUUUGUGAAAAACAUGAUAUUGAGAUUCCUAAUCUCAAUGAUGUUCAUUCAACAACAAGAUUUGGACGCUCUCGUCUUCAACAAGGUCAGAUUACAAUAGAGCAUCAUUUUAUAGUUGAAAUAUUUGUUUACUAUCAUUGAUCAACAAUUACAAGAGUUGAAUAACAGAUUUAGUGAGCAAGCAAUGGAUUUGUUAACUCUAAGUUGUGCUUUGACUCCUAAGGAUAAUUAUAAAGCUUUUAACAUUGAAAAAAUUUGCACUCUAGUUGAAAAAUAUUACCCUGUGGAUUUCAAUAUGGAAGAGAAGAUUAAUUUGAAAUUUCAACUCCAACAUUUCUUGGUUGAUGCUCGUCAAAAUUUAAAUUUGAAGAAUUUAUCAACUAUCCAAGAAUUGUGCUCAUGUUUGGUUGCAAUUGAAUAGGCGCAAAAUUUCUACUUGAUUGAUAGACUACUUUGUCUUAUCACGACUCUUCUGGUUUCUACUGCCACAACAAAAAGAUCUUUUUCAACAAUGAAAAUUAUUAAAUCUAAGUUAAGAAACAAGAUGGAAGCUGACUUUUUGACAGAUAUCAUGACGACUUAUAUUGAAAGAAAAAUUGUUGUGAGUAUCACUUCUGAGUCUAUUAUUGAUGAUUUCAAGUUAAUUAAAGAGCGUUGACUUUCAGGUAUUCCUAAGUCAAGUAGUUAAAUUAUUUGAUAUUUCACUUUGUGUUUAUUACAUCUUAAUUUUUUAUAUAUUUAAUUUAUACAUUAUAUUUUUAUGUUGGUCAUCUCAAUCAGCUUUUUAGUCAAGCUCUACGUACAAGUCCUAACUAACUCACUCCCACUGAUAUCUCGCGGUCAUAUAACAACUCUCAGCUUACCUCAUCCAUAAUGAGUGCAUUUGUUAUAGAUUUUUUUUGUAUAAAAAAUCUAUUUUUAAGUCCAAAAUGAUGUUGCAGGGUUUAAAUAGUGUUUGUUUUUUUAUUUUUUUAAAUUAUUUUUUUGGCUAAAAAUGAAAAACUAAAAAUAGCACCAUGUUACGUUACAAAAACAAUUUAAAAACACUGAACUUAACAUUUGUCAUUACUCUUACCCUAUUUUUUGAACAUCUCAAAUUGUCUUUCAGCAAUUUUUAUUAGGGUUUUUUCUUUUGACAUAUUCUUCUUCUCCUUCCAUGAAUAUAUGUUUUUUUCUCCUUUUCGAUCUCUCUAGUUGUACUACUUACUACCUGAUUAUUAUCAACUAGAAUAACAACUAAAAAAAUAAAACAAGGUAUACUCAAACGGAUUUUCAAUGAUGAUGAUAAUAAUAAUAUAGUUAGUGGGUAAAUAUUUUAACAUCACUAUUAGAAACAAAACUAUGUUUUUAAUCACAAAUUAAACAUAAUUGUUAGACUGUUAAAUAAUUGACUUUAAUUUUACUUACUUUUUAAUGUUUUAAAAAAUGAGCGGUUGUUAAAUGUUUAUGUUGUACAUUGUGGUAAUUUUUUUGGCUUAUUAAUCAAUAAAUAUUUUAUUUUAUAUAUUUAAUACGAUAUUAGUAACUUUAAAUUUAAGUAAGCUAUAUUACAAAAACUUAGUGUUUAAUAACUUAAUUAUAGAUUAUUAUUAAUGUUUAUAAUUUUGUAUAAAUAUUACAAAGGUUAAUGGACACCAGAGGCAAUAAACUGGAAGAUGACAUCAGUCCUGUGACCCAAAUAGUCCUAAUCGAAUAUUUUAUUUACUUUUUUCUAAUUCCAGAAAAAAAUUACCACUAAGUUUUCCAUAUCCGCUUGAAGAUCCAUCUUUUACCAAAGCCUUAGGUUGACUUUGAUUUGUGUCUGUUCUAUGGGAAGAUUUCAAAUCAAUGAGUAGUUCCCCAGAAAAUUCAAGCUGUUCAUUUUCAACAAUUGCAGGUGUAGAGGAAUUCUGACGAGGUAGUGAGGGGAGAGACUUCCCAGAGUUAGCAUUGUCAUCUAACAAUUCAUUCCUUAGAGGGCAAACCAUCAGAGUU
Molecule: long non-coding RNA, 4152 nt
Filed under: Cicer arietinum (chickpea)
Lineage: Eukaryota; Viridiplantae; Streptophyta; Magnoliopsida; Fabales; Fabaceae
Description: long non-coding RNA (CARI_LNC000728)
Source: RNAcentral